UAGGGAAUCUUCCACAAUGGACGCAAGUCUGACGGAGCAACGCCGCGUGAGUGAAGAAGGGUUUCGGCUCGUAAAGCUCUGUUGUUAAAGAAGAACGUGGGUAAGAGUAACUGUUUACCCAGUGACGGUAUUUAACCAGAAAGCCACGGCUAACUACGUGCCAG
Molecule: ribosomal RNA, 164 nt
Filed under: uncultured bacterium
Lineage: Bacteria
Description: partial 16S rRNA
Rfam family: Bacterial small subunit ribosomal RNA
Source: RNAcentral